GACGAACGCUGGCGGGGGGGGGAAAAAAGGAAAGGAGAAGGGAAAGGACGUGCGUGGGGGGGGGGCGAGAGUGGCGAACGGGUGAGUAACAAGGGAGUAAAGGGAACUUGACUUUGGGAUAACUUCAGGAAACGGGGGCUAAUACCGGAGAGGAGCUCCUGCUGGAUGGUGGGGGUUGGACCGUUGCGGCGGUUGGGGAUGGACUCGCGGCUUAUCAGCUGGUUUGUGGGGUAGUGGCUUACCAAGGCGGGGCGGGGUCGCCGGCCUGAGAGGGUGACCGGCCACAUUGGGACUGAGCUACGGCCCAGACUCCUACGGGAGGCCGCAGUGGGGAAUAUUGCACAAUGGGCGGAAGCCUGAUGCAUCAACGCCGCGUGCGGGAUCCCUUCCUUCUCGUUGUAAACCGCUUUCGCCUCUUACUCAGCGUGAGUGACGCUCAUUGGUCCCGAAGCCCCUUCUCCCUACGUC
RNAcentral lists this ribosomal RNA (468 nucleotides) under uncultured bacterium. RNAcentral describes it as "partial 16S ribosomal RNA". It matches the Rfam family "Bacterial small subunit ribosomal RNA", at positions 28 to 507 of the family's 1533-position model. The record is from RNAcentral.